CCUACGGGGGGCAGCAGUGGGGAAUAUUGGACAAUGGGGGGAACCCUGAUCCAGCCAUGCCGCGUGUGUGAAGAAGGCCCUCGGGUUGUAAAGCACUUUCAGUGAGGAAGAACGCCUGGUGGUUAAUACCCAUCAGGAAAGACAUCACUCACAGAAGAAGCACCGGCUAACUCCGUGCCAGCAGCCGCGGUAAUACGGAGGGUGCGAGCGUUAAUCGGAAUUACUGGGCGUAAAGCGCGCGUAGGUGGCUUGAUAAGCCGGUUGUGAAAGCCCCGGGCUCAACCUGGGAACGGCAUCCGGAACUGUCAAGCUAGAGUGCAGGAGAGGAAGGUGGAAUUCCCGGUGUAGCGGUGAAAUGCGUAGAGAUCGGGAGGAAUACCAGUGGCGAAGGCGGCCUUCUGGACUGACACUGACGCUGAGGUGCGAAAGCGUGGGUAGCAAACAGGAUUAGAUACCCUAGUAGUC
This 465-nucleotide ribosomal RNA is filed under the name Vreelandella stevensii. RNAcentral describes it as "partial 16S ribosomal RNA". It matches the Rfam family "Bacterial small subunit ribosomal RNA", at positions 338 to 795 of the family's 1533-position model. The record is from RNAcentral. Lineage: Bacteria; Pseudomonadati; Pseudomonadota; Gammaproteobacteria; Oceanospirillales; Halomonadaceae.